CGGGGCGUAGCUUAGCCCGGUAGAGCGCUGGUUUUGGGAACCAGAGGUCGCAGGUUCAAAUCCUGCCGCCCCGA
Molecule: transfer RNA, 74 nt
Filed under: Acidobacteriota bacterium
Lineage: Bacteria; Pseudomonadati; Acidobacteriota
Description: tRNA-Pro
Rfam family: tRNA
About the family: Transfer RNA (tRNA) molecules are approximately 80 nucleotides in length. Their secondary structure includes four short double-helical elements and three loops (D, anti-codon, and T loops).
Source: RNAcentral